UUUCUUAAAUCCAUAUUUUUUUGUAUGUACAUUGUCUGCUGAUCUAUAAGUGUAAAAGAAUCAAGCAAAUGGGUUAAAGUAAAUAUAUAUAAGUCUGUUUAUAAAAACUUACAAUAUCAUACUUCACCUAUCUUGUGAUAUUAAUGUAUGUGUUAAUGUUCACAGGUCAAAUGAUCUGCAUGCAGCUGUGGCCCGCAUACCAUCACCAAAGAGUCAGAGAAGAUCCUGCACUAUUGAGGAUUAUGAAGAUUAUUAUGCUAAUAUGGAAGAUCUCAACACUUAUGGAAAUGUCUAAAGAAAAUGCUCCUCAUCACCUGAAAAAUCUGCUCAAUACAGUGUUUUAAACAGAAAAAGACAAAAGUCAAACAUAUGUUUCAGUUAAUAUUUAAAAAAAAUUAAUCAUGGCAUUGAAAUAGCAUCAAUAUUUUAAUUCACAUGAUUUUAAUUCUUUGUCUGAUUUGUGUGGCAUCUGGAUCUCUCUUUGUUUUUUUUGUUUUUUUAUUAUUCUAAUGAGCAAUUUGGCUAAGCUAACAACUUUGUACUUAAAGGGACAGUUCACCUAAAAACUAAAAUUUUGUCAUCAUUUACUCUCAUGUUGUUUCAAACCUGUAUAAGUUUCUCUACCCUUUGAUGUCCACAGUAAUGUUUUUUCCUUUUGUACUACAGUAUGGCAGUCAAUGUGUACCAUCAAGUUCAUGUUUAUCAUCAUUUUUAAAAAGGAGUCAUUUGAUUCGAUUUCUUUUAUCUUUGGUGUGUCGAAGUUGUUGAAGUGUCUUAGUUUCAAACCCAAAGAGAUCUUUUAUUUAAAAAUGAAGCCUCAUCCAUGCCUUCCUAAAACGUCUCUUUAAACACACCCCUGCAGUUGGACGUCAUACUGCAGGAAAAAAUGCAUAACACUGUCCUAAUGUAUACACAAAGACAGAAGGUGUAACUUUCAUUCACAAUGUAUUGUUGCUGCCACCAUGUCGUGGAGACGCUGUGUUUUUCCUUGCGGGUGAUGGCACUUGGCCAUCGUUAGCUGAGCUGCUGGCUAACAACAGCACCGAUGUAGCAUUACUAUUGUUAGCUGAACUUCUAGCUAAAAACAGGGAUGUAGCAUUUCAAGGUUGUUUGUAAAUCUGCUUUUUCUUUCCUAUUCAUUUAAUUAAUAAUGAUGGUGGGUAGUGAACUAGGGCGUGAUUGAUAGUUCUCUAAUUCAAUUAUGUUGGGCAUUGUCAGAUUGACAACUUAGCCCAAUGUAAUUAUAGGAAAUAUUUGAGUUUAUUUACAUUCAUGUGAUUGGAUUAGCAACAAAAAAAGUGAAAAAGGCAUUGUUUUGUCAUUGUUUCAGAAAAGGCAAAUACUAGAGUGUCUUACCUUUUCCAACCUAUGAAAGCUCUCACUGGGACAGUACCCUUCCUAAUAAAUACCAUUAGGUACUGAUAUGUACAUUUAAGGUGCUAAUAUGCCAUCUCUACCAAGAGUACUACCCCAG
Paramisgurnus dabryanus is the source of this 1474-nucleotide long non-coding RNA. RefSeq lists it as uncharacterized. The record is from RefSeq and is a predicted model, not a curated record. Lineage: Eukaryota; Metazoa; Chordata; Actinopteri; Cypriniformes; Cobitidae.